CUUGCGGUACAUUUAGCCCCGGCGCCGAUCGCAGCCUCAGUCCCAGUCCUUGACGAACAUCCCUGCCACACCGCCCGCCCGAUCGAUGCGAUCCCCCACCACCUCACCAACGAAUCACCGAGCCACCGGGGAACUCAACAAUACAACAAUUCACCCCUCCACCACCGGGGGCCGGGGAGUUUCGAGAGCAGAGGAGGUGAUGGUGAUGACGGUGGGUGGGUGGGCGUCGUCUCCGGCGCCGGCGAGCGGUGGCG
This 254-nucleotide long non-coding RNA is filed under the name Oryza brachyantha (malo sina). RNAcentral describes it as "long non-coding RNA (OBRA_LNC001295)". Lineage: Eukaryota; Viridiplantae; Streptophyta; Magnoliopsida; Poales; Poaceae. The record is from RNAcentral.